AUCCAGAUGACGGGUCCCAAAUAGGACGAAAUGCACGUUGUCCUGGAU
This 48-nucleotide non-coding RNA is filed under the name Trichobilharzia regenti. Lineage: Eukaryota; Metazoa; Platyhelminthes; Trematoda; Strigeidida; Schistosomatidae. The record is from RNAcentral.